This 1512-nucleotide long non-coding RNA is filed under the name Homo sapiens (human). Its description in RNAcentral is "HSALNT0079077". The record is from RNAcentral. Lineage: Eukaryota; Metazoa; Chordata; Mammalia; Primates; Hominidae.
CAACAACCUAUUAUUUUCCUUUUCACCAACUUUUGGCUACUCCCUGAUCACAUUCAGGGUGCAAAAAUGCUAGGAGUGAACAGUUAACCAAUCCCUAUCCUGCACCAGCACAUAUGACAGAACCUAUUUGGAAUUCUUUUACAGGAUGCACUAGCUAAUGCAGAUAAGCUCUGUGGCAUCAAUUCACCCUCCAGAAGAAACCCAAAUAGCAACACAGGAUGAAGGUCAAGGAUUAACUGAUGCUAAUGGAAAUGUUCCCAGUGACCGUCCAGAUAAAAUAUUGUAUCCCAGCUGAUGAGGCCGGCACAUGAUGACAACACUACAAGCACCAAGAAAAUUGAUGCGAUGGCCUGUCUUAAGUUGGCUUCCUCUAUUGGUCUUUUAUCUGACAAGACACCUUUGGCAAAGUCUCAUCAAUAUGCUACUUUUCAUCUGCCUGACACUGAAAUCAAUGGACUGCAGAAGAAGCCUCUCGAUCAGCAUUGUCAGAAAUGAUCACCAUGCUGGACGGAGCAUGCUACCUGAUUUCUCCUGACUGAACUCCCACAAAAGCAUGGCUGCAAAUCCCAGAGAAAGAAGAAAGAGAACUUACAUAAAGGAGGCUUUCUGGAGAACUCGCUGUAAGAGGGUCAAUGCGGAAAUAUGGAAUGUGCUUAGGAGUCCACUGAAGCAGUCCAGUCCACCCCUGCAGGGAUGCCUUUCCCAGCCUGCAUGGAUUCUGACACUGGACACCCUGCUGUGGACCAUCUUCAACCUGCUUAGGCUCUGGACCACUGCAGUCCAUCUCCGACACACACAUACCUCGGAUGCUUGCCUUGCUCUGCCCCACUUCACGAUUUAGGACCGAAUUUUUCAGGAAGGAAAGAGAAGAGCUCUGAAAGACUUUUAACAGAAAAUAAAGGGCUUCUAGGAUGUCUACAGACUUGUAGUUUGUCAUUUUCUAAUCUUAAUGUUUAUAACUAAUAUUUUAGUAUGAAUUAUUAAUUUAUCUGAGGUGAAUAAAAUUCACUGAGUUCAUUGGUAUCUCAUAAGAUGUAAAACUAGUUCUUCUGAUAUUCUGGAGAAAUGUUUAUUUUAUCUGAUAUCUGUCUUCUAUGAGCAGAUGGAGUGAGCCAUUCAUAUUUUUUUUUCAUUUUGAAGAAGACCGAGGUCUGGAAAAGCUUCAAAAAUUGCGGGUCUAUAGCAAUUGAUUAAUAAUUAAUAGUAAGCCAUGUGACAUUCUAGCAUGUCACUUAGUAAUCACCAUAGUUUUAAGGAAAGCUUACUGCUUAGUGAAUGUCUUUUUCUGUUUUUCACUUCUCUAAAAUCUUUUAAUGCACCUUAUUGGGUUUUGGUGUAAAUUAUGAAUAAGAAAGACAUUUUUCUCAGUUUUUAUGAGGUUAAAAAAUUGAUUUAUAAAAUGUUAACUUUAAGAAUUCAUUCUUUUCAUUUGGUUCACUGUGUCAAGUUUGUUUGGAAAUGCGACCUGUGUGUGCCUGUGUGUCAUCACUUUGCAUGCAAGUUUUCUCCGGC